Molecule: ribosomal RNA, 253 nt
Filed under: uncultured bacterium
Lineage: Bacteria
Description: partial 16S ribosomal RNA
Rfam family: Bacterial small subunit ribosomal RNA
Source: RNAcentral
GACAGAGGAGCCAAGCGUUGUCCGGACUGACUGGGCGUAAAGCGCACGCAGGCGGCGCUGGGCGUGGGGUGUGAAAGCUCUUGGCUUAACUGAGAGAGGCCAUCCCAUACGGCAGCGCUCGAGCGGUGCAGAGGUCCGCGGAAUUGCCGGUGUAGUGGUGAAAUGCGUAGAGAUCGGCAGGAACACCCAGGGGGAAACCAGUGGACUGGGCAUCGGCUGACGCUCAGGUGCGACAGCGUGGGGAGCGAACCGG